This 468-nucleotide ribosomal RNA is filed under the name uncultured bacterium. Its description in RNAcentral is "partial 16S ribosomal RNA". It matches the Rfam family "Bacterial small subunit ribosomal RNA", at positions 28 to 507 of the family's 1533-position model. The record is from RNAcentral.
GACGAACGCUGGCGGCGUGCUUAACACAUGCAAGUCGAACGGAAAGGCCCUGCUUUUGUGGGGUGCUCGAGUGGCGAACGGGUGAGUAACACGUGAGUAACCUGCCCUUGACUUUGGGAUAACUUCAGGAAACUGGGGCUAAUACAGGAUAGGAGCUCCUGCUGCAUGGUGGGGGUUGGAAAGUGUCGGCGGUUGGGGAUGGACUCGCGGCUUAUCAGCUUGUUGGUGGGGUAGUGGCUUACCAAGGCUUUGACGGGUAGCCGGCCUGAGAGGGUGACCGGCCACAUUGGGACUGAGAUACGGCCCAGACUCCUACGGGAGGCAGCAGUGGGGAAUCUUGCACAAUGGGCGGAAGCCUGAUGCAGCAACGCCGCGUGCGGGAUGACGGCCUUCGGGUUGUAAACCGCUUUCGCCUGUGACGAAGCGUGAGUGACGGUAAUGGGUAAAGAAGCACCGGCUAACUACGUG